CCGGAAGGUGCGGCUGGAUCACCUCCUUUCUAAGGAGCACCUUCACGCGAAAGCGUGUAAGGGGCCCGCACCACGCGAGUGUCGUGGUGGGGUGCUCAGAGGCGGAGACACUGGCGAAGGUCCUGCGGACAACGGUCUGUGGGUUCUAGUACGGCCGGCCUUUCGGGGUUGGUGUGGAACGAAUCCUGGAUGCGGUUUGUGUGGAUCGUAUAGGCACCCUGUUGGGUCCUGAAACAACCAGCGAUGGUGUGUUUCGGACAUGAAUCCGCGCCGGUGACAGGACCGGGCCCUGAUGGGUCGAGGCUGUCGCUGACAAAACGGUGUCGGGUUUGGUGUUGGUUGAGAAUUGCACAGUGGAUGCGAGCAUCUUUAAAGCUUUGUGGUCAAGUUGCUGAGGGCG
RNAcentral lists this unclassified non-coding RNA (400 nucleotides) under uncultured bacterium. RNAcentral describes it as "partial contains 16S ribosomal RNA, and 16S-23S ribosomal RNA intergenic spacer". The record is from RNAcentral.